GCCAGACUCCUACGGGAGGCAGCAGUGGGGGAUAUUGCACAAUGGGGGGAACCCUGAUGCAGCGACGCCGCGUGAGUGAAGAAGUAUUUCGGUAUGUAAAGCUCUAUCAGCAGGGAAGAAGAAAGACGGUACCUGAGUAAGAAGCCCCGGCUAACUACGUGCCAGCAGCCGCGGUAAUACGUAGGGGGCAAGCGUUAUCCGGAUUUACUGGGUGUAAAGGGAGCGUAGACGGUAUGGCAAGUCUGAAGUGAAAGCCCCGGGCUCAACCUGGGAAUUGCUUUGGAAACUGUUAAACUAGAGUGCUGGAGAGGCAGGCGGAAUUCCUAGUGUAGCGGUGAAAUGCGUAGAUAUUAGGAGGAACACCAGUGGCGAAGGCGGCCUGCUGGACAGUAACUGACGUUGAGGCUCGAAAGUGUGGGGAGCAAACAGGAUUAGAUACCCCAGUA
RNAcentral lists this ribosomal RNA (446 nucleotides) under uncultured bacterium. RNAcentral describes it as "bacterial SSU rRNA". It matches the Rfam family "Bacterial small subunit ribosomal RNA", at positions 330 to 792 of the family's 1533-position model. The record is from RNAcentral.